CAAAGUUAAUAAGGGCGCACGGUGGAUGCCUUGGCACUAAGAGCCGAUGAAGGACGUGACUAACGACGAUAUUCUAGGGGGAGCAGUAAGUACGCAUUGAUCCCUAGGUCUCCGAAUGGGGAAACCCAGCUGCUACUAGCAGUUAUUCAUGAGUGAAUACAUAGCUCAUGUAAAGGUAACGCAGAGAACUGAAACAUCUAAGUACCUGCAGGAAGAGAAAGUAAAAACGAUUUCGUAAGUAGCGGCGAGCGAACGCGAAGAAGGGCAAACCAAGAAGCUUGCUUCUUGGGGUUGUAGGACUGCAACGUGGACUUAAGCAUUAUAGUCGAAUAACCUGGGAAGGUUAAUCAAAGAGGGUAAUAAUCCCGUAGACGAAAUAGCGCUUAUACCUAGCAGUAUCCUGAGUAGGGCUGGACACGCGAAAUCCAGUUUGAAUCCGGGAGGACCAUCUCCCAACCCUAAAUACUCCUUAGUGACCGAUAGUGAACCAGUACCGUGAGGGAAAGGUGAAAAGAACCCCGAGAGGGGAGUGAAAUAGCACCUGAAACCGUGUGCCUACAAGAAGUUCGAGCCCGUUAAUGGGUGAGAGCGUGCCUUUUGUAGAAUGAACCGGCGAGUUACGUUAUGAUGCGAGGUUAAGUUGAAGAGACGGAGCCGUAGGGAAACCGAGUCUGAAUAGGGCGACUUAGUAUCAUGAUGUAGACCCGAAACCUAGUGACCUAUCCAUGAGCAGGGUGAAGGUGUGGUAAGACGCACUGGAGGCCCGAACCAGGACACGUUGAAAAGUGUUUGGAUGACUUGUGGAUAGCGGAGAAAUUCCAAACGAACUGGGAGAUAGCUGGUUCUCUCCGAAAUAGCUUUAGGGCUAGCGUCGAAAUGUAAGUGUAUUGGAGGUAGAGCACUGUUUGGGUGAGGGGUCCGUCUAGGAUUACCAAUCUCAGAUAAACUCCGAAUGCUAAUACACAUGUUCGGCAGUCAGACUGCGAGUGCUAAGAUCCGUAGUCGAAAGGGAAACAGCCCAGACCAACAGCUAAGGUCCCAAAAUAUAUGUUAAGUGGAAAAGGAUGUGGGGUUGCACAGACAACUAGGAUGUUAGCUCAGAAGCAGCUAUCAUUCAAAGAGUGCGUAAUAGCUCACUAGUCGAGUGACCCUGCGCCGAAAAUGUACCGGGGCUAAACAUAUUACCGAAGCUUUGGAUUGAUAUUUUAUCAAUGGUAGGAGAGCGUUCUUAACCGCGAUGAAGGUAUACCGUGAGGAGUGCUGGAGCGUUAAGAAGUGAGAAUGCCGGUAUGAGUAGCGCAAGAUAAGUGAGAAUCUUAUCCACCGUAAGACUAAGGUUUCCAGGGGAAGGCUCGUCCGCCCUGGGUUAGUCGGGACCUAAGGCGAGGCCGAAAGGCGUAGUCGAUGGACAACUGGUUGAUAUUCCAGUACUAGAUAUGAUCGUGAUGGAGGGACGCAGUAGGCUAAGAGAUGCCAGUUAAUGGAUUCUGGUCUAAGCAGUGAGGUGUGAGAUGUGUCAAAUGCAUUUCUCUCUAACAUUGAGCUGUGAUGGGGAAGCAACUACGGUUGCGAACUCUCUGAUGUCACACUGCCAAGAAAAGCUUCUAGCGUAAAGUCAUAUCUACCCGUACCGCAAACCGACACAGGUAGUCGAGGCGAGUAGCCUCAGGUGAUCGAGAGAACUCUCGUUAAGGAACUCGGCAAAAUAGCCCCGUAACUUCGGGAGAAGGGGUGCUGGUGUAAAAGCCAGCCGCAGUGAAUAGGCCCAAGCAACUGUUUAUCAAAAACACAGCUCUCUGCUAAACCGCAAGGUGAUGUAUAGGGGGUGACGCCUGCCCGGUGCUGGAAGGUUAAGAGGAGUGCUUAGACGUAAGUCGAAGGUAUGAAUUGAAGCCCCAGUAAACGGCGGCCGUAACUAUAACGGUCCUAAGGUAGCGAAAUUCCUUGUCGGGUAAGUUCCGACCCG
RNAcentral lists this ribosomal RNA (1966 nucleotides) under human gut metagenome. RNAcentral's name for it is "bacterial LSU rRNA". It matches the Rfam family "Bacterial large subunit ribosomal RNA", at positions 1 to 1990 of the family's 2925-position model. The record is from RNAcentral.